GACGAACGCUGGCGGCGUGCUUAACACAUGCAAGUCGAACGGAAAGGCCCUGCUUUUGUGGGGUGCUCGAGUGGUGAACGGGUGAGUAACACGUGAGUAACCUGCCCUUGACUUUGGGAUAACUUCAGGAAACUGGGGCUAAUACCGGAUAGGAGCUCCUGCUGCAUGGUGGGGGUUGGAAAGUUUCGGCGGUUGGGGAUGGACUCGCGGCUUAUCAGCUUGUUGGUGGGGUAGUGGCUUACCAAGGCUUUGACGGGUAGCAGGCCUGAGAGGGUGACCGGCCACAUUGGGACUGAGAUACGGCCCAGACUCCUACGGGAGGCAGCAGUGGGGAAUAUUGCACAAUGGGCGGAAGCCUGAUGCAGCAACGCCGCGUGCGGGAUGACGGCCUUCGGGUUGUAAACCGCUUUCGCCUGUGACGAAGCGUGAGUGACGGUAAUGGGUAAAGAAGCACCGGCUAACUACGUG
This 468-nucleotide ribosomal RNA is filed under the name uncultured bacterium. RNAcentral describes it as "partial 16S ribosomal RNA". It matches the Rfam family "Bacterial small subunit ribosomal RNA", at positions 28 to 507 of the family's 1533-position model. The record is from RNAcentral.